CCUACGGAUGACAGCAGUAGGGAAUAUUGCUCAAUGGGGGAAACCCUGAAGCAGCAACGCCGCGUGGAGGAUGAAGGUUUUCGGAUUGUAAACUCCUUUUGGUAGAGAAGAGAAUGACGGUAGCUAACGAAUAAGCACCGGCGAACUCCGGGCCAGCAGCCGCGGUAAUACGGAGGGGGCAAGCGUUACUCGGAAUCACUGGGCGUAAAGAGCGCGGAGGCGGGAUCGCAAGUCAGAUGUGAAAUCCUAUGGCUUAACCAUAGAACUGCAUUUGAAACUGUUAUUCUAGAGUAUGGGAGAGGUAGGUGGAAUUCUUGGUGUAGGGGUCACAUCCGU
RNAcentral lists this ribosomal RNA (336 nucleotides) under uncultured bacterium. Its description in RNAcentral is "partial 16S ribosomal RNA". It matches the Rfam family "Bacterial small subunit ribosomal RNA", at positions 338 to 691 of the family's 1533-position model. The record is from RNAcentral.